Molecule: long non-coding RNA, 1808 nt
Organism: Drosophila simulans
Lineage: Eukaryota; Metazoa; Arthropoda; Insecta; Diptera; Drosophilidae
Exons: 3
Source: RefSeq, a predicted model, not a curated record
GUAUAAACGUCGAGAUCUCAUGAACUAUAAGAGCUAAAAGGUUGAGAUUAAUCAUACAGAUUCUAGAGACAUAGGCGUGUUGACCCAUUUUGGCACUCCCAUUCUAACGCCCACAACCGCACAAAACUGCCACGCCCACACUUUUGAAAAAUGUGUUGAUAUUAUCUCAUAAUGUUAUUCGUCGUGUAAAUUUCUAUAGAUUUGCCAAAAAAAAACGGGUAUCUGAUAGUUGGGUAACACGACUAUAUCAUUCCCUCUUCUUUAUUCAUAAAUUAAACAAAAAUUCGAGCGGCUAUUUAAUUUGUAACAAUUAAUAUACAUAUCCGAGCGACUAAUUUUGGAUGCAGCUACAAAUCUAGUAAAAUCUUUUGAUCUACAAAUUGCUCGUUAAAGUAGCGAAUGAUAAUUUGUGGUCGAUAGUCUCCUUGCAAUAAACUUCAAAAACUAUAAGUAAUUAUAGUUUCGAAUUGAUUACAGCUCCCACUAUAAAAUUCAGAUCACUUUUUCACCAAAUUGAUACUAACAAACUGAGUUAUCAUUUUUUAGCAUUGCAAGCAUUAAAAUUCAAUUUGAUUCACCAUCUGUUUUUCAAUGACGCAUAAUUUCGCAGCCACAUUAUACACAUCUGUUCUCGAUUUACACUAAAAAUGUUGCAAUAAAACAAAUCUUGCACUUAACUCUGUAUGGAUGUUUAAGUUAAGAAUACCAAAGGCCCCAAAACCACCAAGCCGAACUUUCCACCAGACAGAUUGAUCGCACAGCAUUGAAACUUUUGGAGGGUGGCAGCCGAAGUCGAGGACUCUUUUAGCUUGUCCUUGGAAAUUCUUAUAAAUUACGAUGACAUCCGCUUGCAAGGUGCCAUAUGGGCAGUGAUGGCUGCACUCAUUUGAUCAUAACCAACGACUUCAAUACAGUACGCCCGGAAUUAAAAGAUUUACUUCAGAUCCGGGAGGUAUUACCUAUAAGAUGAAAUGUACGUAUGACUGUUGGAAGCGUCCAGAUCCUAUAGAGCUAAACUUUUUUAACAAAAAAAUGUUUGGAAAAUCACUCAGAAAUAAAAUGGCAUUAAACAAUACUAAGACUUCGAAAAGCAAAAAGGGUGAAACAAGUAAAAAAAAUCAAGGGUGUUGAUGCUUCAGUAUCAUCUUCACGUCAAUCAAGCAACCUAACCAAUUUGAUUAGUAUUUUGGUUCGCAAGGGAAUCUGUGAAAUAAAAGAGGGACACACUAGCGAAUUCGUGAAUCUGGAUAAUCUAAAGGAUAUCGUGCACAAGCUCGUCGCACGAAAUCGAGUCCAAUCUCUCGUUUAUAGUAACGACAAGCAAAUAUAUCAGACCGCAUAGCUGCAGUUGAACUGUCGGUAAAUGAACAUCUGAAAGAUAAAGAAUAUUUGAGUGACUACUAAAUGGACUUCGAUUCAAGCUCUAUCCCAGAAAAAUGAUGAAAUUUCACCUUCGCAUUCACACCAACUGAGAAGAGGGUAACUCGACUAUAGCAUUCUCACUUGUUUUACAUUACUGAAGGGAGCUUGCGUCCUUCCUUUCUUAUUUCCCUUCAAAAGAAAGCCUUAAAAAUUUUGUAUUUUUAAAUAUGUUAAGGAAAAUAAAUCCCAUAUUUUUAGAAUCGUGCACAUCAGUGCCUUAAUAAACGGUACUUACGAAAAGCAAAUCAUUUCACUUGUUUUAUUGCAUUUCAGUUUCUGUUCAAUUGCUCUUUCAAUUAUGAUUCGUCUAGAUUGUAUGUGUUUUCUUAGAAAUUUAGCGACGGUUUUCAGGUUUGUAUUUCGCAAGUACAUACAUUACAUGUAAA